This 453-nucleotide ribosomal RNA is filed under the name uncultured Porphyromonadaceae bacterium. RNAcentral's name for it is "partial 16S ribosomal RNA". It matches the Rfam family "Bacterial small subunit ribosomal RNA", at positions 341 to 792 of the family's 1533-position model. Lineage: Bacteria; Pseudomonadati; Bacteroidota; Bacteroidia; Bacteroidales; Porphyromonadaceae. The record is from RNAcentral.
ACGGGAGGCAGCAGUGAGGAAUAUUGGUCAAUGGACGGAAGUCUGAACCAGCCAAGUCGCGUGAAGGAAGACGGUUCUAUGGAUUGUAAACUUCUUUUGCCCGAGGGUAAAAGUGGUACGUGUACCACCUUGCAAGUAUCGGGUGAAUAAGCAUCGGCUAACUCCGUGCCAGCAGCCGCGGUAAUACGGAGGAUGCGAGCGUUAUCCGGAUUUAUUGGGUUUAAAGGGUGCGUAGGCGGGCUGUUAAGUCAGCGGUGAAAGUUUGCGGCUCAACCGUAAAAUUGCCGUUGAAACUGGCGGUCUUGAGUGUAAACGAGGUAGGCGGAAUGUGACGUGUAGCGGUGAAAUGCUUAGAUAUGUCACAGAACUCCGAUUGCGAAGGCAGCUUACCAGGAUACAACUGACGCUGAGGCACGAAAGCGUGGGGAGCAAACAGGAUUAGAUACCCUGGUA